RNAcentral lists this ribosomal RNA (252 nucleotides) under uncultured bacterium. RNAcentral describes it as "partial 16S ribosomal RNA". It matches the Rfam family "Bacterial small subunit ribosomal RNA", at positions 524 to 776 of the family's 1533-position model. The record is from RNAcentral.
UACGGAGGAUGCGAGCGUUAUCCGGAUUUAUUGGGUUUAAAGGGUGCGUAGGCGGGCUUUUAAGUCAGCGGUAAAAAUUCGGGGCUCAACCCCGUCCGGCCGUUGAAACUGGGGGCCUUGAGUGGGCGAGAAGAAGGCGGAAUGCGUGGUGUAGCGGUGAAAUGCAUAGAUAUCACGCAGGACCCCGAUUGCGAAGGCAGCCUUCCGGCGCCCUACUGACGCUGAGGCACGAAAGUGCGGAGAUCGAACAGG